AGGGUGUAAACGCUGCGGGCUUGGUGUUGGGGGUCCUUUGAGGGCGCCCAGUGCCGGAGAGAAGUUGUUAAGCCUGCUGCUUGGGGAGUACGUCCGCAAGGAUGAAACUUAAAGGAAUUGGCGGGGGAGCACAACAACGGGUGGAGCUUGUGGUUUAAUUGGAUUCAACGCCGGAAAUCUUACCGGGACCGACAGCAACAUGAAGGCCAAGCUGAAGACUUUGCCGGAUUAGCUGAGAGGUGGUGCAUGGCGUAGUCGUGU
RNAcentral lists this ribosomal RNA (261 nucleotides) under uncultured archaeon. RNAcentral describes it as "partial 16S ribosomal RNA". It matches the Rfam family "Archaeal small subunit ribosomal RNA", at positions 748 to 1009 of the family's 1478-position model. The record is from RNAcentral.